GGCUCAGCCCAUGCUCGCUGGGUGGCCGAUUGUUGACUGGUGCUCUGUGAGCUCCAAGUUUCCUGUAAACAUUAGAAAAUACAGCAUGGGUUUUGGGUGGCAGCUACUCUGGGGCAUACUGGCUGGGGAACUGGCAGAAUUCCACAGGCUGGUUUUUCUCAAGUUAACUGGUGGCUUCCUGCCAUGACAACAAGCUCAGCCCUGUGGGAAGUGGGUUUGGAUGGUGCUUCUGGAUCACCUCAGCAAAACAGCAAUGAAGUGAAUGCAACUGAUGCCUCCUCAAAAGUUUGCUACCUGCCAAGACUUUCAAGCAUGAAAAUAUCUUUAUUUUUCCCUUUUAAAAUUGAUGGGUAGGCCAUAUGGGAGAGAGGGAAAUACUGACAAAGAGGGCACCUCAAGAAAAGCAUGCCUAUAAAAAUAAUGUGACAAACAAUGAAACAACACACAAACAGUUUGACAGAUAAGAGAGCAAAGGAUCACCACACGCCCGUGAUUCUAGAGCAAGUGGUGACUUUAGUGUGUGGCUGUGCUCAUGCAUAUGGACCUUACACAACUGCAAUCAGCAUCUGCAUACCUACACCCAGUAACCUGCUUUCUCUACCUAAUAUGAUAUAAUGAGCAUUUUUCUAUAUUGCUACAUAGUCUUUAUAAUUACUUUAAAUGACUGUAUAAUAUUCCAUUCAUUAUAUCACUGCUGAAUAUUUAGGUUGCUUGUAGUUUUUCCUUUGCUCAUUUUUAUGAAUUAACAAAUGUAAAGUAUUUCACCCACUACCUUCAAAUUAUAUAUACUUGGUCGGCACUUUAUUUCCUUCCCGUUCUGCCCCUUUAUAUAAAUAAAGAAAAGUAUGAAAGAUUCAUAUA
Molecule: long non-coding RNA, 861 nt
Filed under: Homo sapiens (human)
Lineage: Eukaryota; Metazoa; Chordata; Mammalia; Primates; Hominidae
Description: HSALNT0015290
Source: RNAcentral